RNAcentral lists this ribosomal RNA (496 nucleotides) under uncultured bacterium. RNAcentral describes it as "partial 16S ribosomal RNA". It matches the Rfam family "Bacterial small subunit ribosomal RNA", at positions 28 to 506 of the family's 1533-position model. The record is from RNAcentral.
GAUGAACGCUGGCGGCGUGCCUAAUACAUGCAAGUCGAGCGAACAGACGAGGAGCUUGCUCCUCUGACGUUAGCGGCGGACAGGUGAGUAACACGUGGAUAACCUACCUAUAAGACUGGGAUAACUUCGGGAAACCGGAGCUAAUACCGGAUAAUAUAUUGAACCGCAUGGUUCAAUAGUGAAAGACGGUUUUGCUGUCACUUAUAGAUGGAUCCGCGCCGCAUUAGCUAGUUGGUAAGGUAACGGCUUACCAAGGCAACGAUGCGUAGCCGACCUGAGAGGGUGAUCGGCCACACUGGAACUGAGACACGCUCCAGACUCCUACGGGGGGCAGCAGUAGGGAAUCUUCCGAAAUGGGCGAAAGCCUGACGGGGCAACGCCGCGGGGGUGAUGAAGGUUUUCGGAUCGUAAACCUCUUUUAUUGGGGAAAAAAAAAUGUGUAAGUAACUAUGCACGUUUUGACGGUACCUAAUCAGAAAGCCCCGGCUAACUACGU